Molecule: small nucleolar RNA, 162 nt
Organism: Corvus moneduloides (New Caledonian crow)
Lineage: Eukaryota; Metazoa; Chordata; Aves; Passeriformes; Corvidae
Source: Ensembl
UGUGCACGCUAUUAAAGCUUGAUGCUGAGGUCAGUUUCUGGCCGAUGAGCUCUCAAGUGUCGGAAGUGUGCGACAGCAAAGGAUGGCAGGGUUUUCGCUAACGCCAGGAGAGGGAGGGACUCCCUCUAGGAUUGGAGUUUGAUAGUAGGCCCUGCCACAUGC